Molecule: ribosomal RNA, 420 nt
Filed under: uncultured Nitrososphaerota archaeon
Lineage: Archaea; Thermoproteati; Nitrososphaerota
Description: bacterial SSU rRNA
Rfam family: Archaeal small subunit ribosomal RNA
Source: RNAcentral
CAGCCGCCGCGGUAACACCAGCCCCUCGAGUGGUGGGGAUGAUUAUUAGGCCUAAAGCACCCGUAGCCUGCUUUGUUAGUUUUCGGUUAAAUCCAUACGCUCAACAUACAGGCUGCCGGGAAUACUGCAGCGCUAGGGAGUGGGAGAGGUAGACGGUACUCGGUAGGAAGGGGUAAAAUCCUUUGAUCUAUUGAUGACCACCUGUGGCGAAGGCGGUCUACCAGAACACGUCCGACGGUGAGGGAUGAAAGCUGGGGGAGCAAACCGGAUUAGAUACCCGGGUAGUCCCAGCUGUAAACUAUGCAAACUCAGUGAUGCAUUGGCUUGUGGCCUAUGUAGUGCUGCAGGGAAGCCGUUAAGUUUGCCGCCUGGGAAGUACGUACGCAAGUAUGAAACUUAAAGGAAUUGGCGGGGGAGCAC